Molecule: transfer RNA, 63 nt
Filed under: Rattus norvegicus (Norway rat)
Lineage: Eukaryota; Metazoa; Chordata; Mammalia; Rodentia; Muridae
Rfam family: tRNA
About the family: Transfer RNA (tRNA) molecules are approximately 80 nucleotides in length. Their secondary structure includes four short double-helical elements and three loops (D, anti-codon, and T loops).
Source: Rfam by way of RNAcentral
GGGGAUUUGGCUCAGUGGUAGAGCGCUUGCCUAGCAAGCGCAAGGCCCUGAGUUCAGUCCCCA